Molecule: ribosomal RNA, 477 nt
Filed under: uncultured bacterium
Lineage: Bacteria
Description: partial 16S ribosomal RNA
Rfam family: Bacterial small subunit ribosomal RNA
Source: RNAcentral
GACGAACGCUGGCGGCGUGCUUAACACAUGCAAGUCGAACGGUAAGGCCCUUCGGGGUACACGAGUGGCGAACGGGUGAGUAACACGUGGGUGAUCUGCCCUGCACUUCGGGAUAAGCCUGGGAAACUGGGUCUAAUACCGGAUAGGACAUCUGCCUGCAUGGGUGGUGGUGGAAAGCUUUUGCGGUGUGGAUGGGCCCGCGGCCUAUCAGCUUGUUGGUGGGGUGAUGGCCUACCAAGGCGACGACGGGUAGCCGGCCUGAGAGGGUGACCGGCCACACUGGGACUGAGAUACGGCCCAGACUCCUACGGGAGGCAGCAGUGGGGAAUAUUGCACAGUGGGCGCAAGCCUGAUGCAGCGACGCCGCGUGAGGGAUGACGGCCUUCGGGUUGUAAACCUCUUUCAGCACCGACGAAGCGCAAGUGACGGUAGGUGCAGAAGAAGGACCGGCCAACUACGUGCCAGCAGCCGCGGUAA